Molecule: ribosomal RNA, 110 nt
Filed under: Roseburia sp. AM51-8
Lineage: Bacteria; Bacillati; Bacillota; Clostridia; Lachnospirales; Lachnospiraceae
Description: partial 23S ribosomal RNA
Rfam family: Bacterial large subunit ribosomal RNA
Source: RNAcentral
UCCUAUAAGGAGAUAAGAUCCCUUGAAGACUACAAGGUAGAUAGGACAGAGGUGGAAGUGUAGUAAUACAUGUAGCUGACUGUUACUAAUAGAUCGAAGGCUUAACCAAA